CCCUUAGACGUUCUGGGCCGCACGCGCGCUACACUGACCAGUGCAACAAGCAUCCGUCCUUGGCCGACAGGCCCGGGCAAUCUUUGAACGCUGGUCGUGAUGGGGAUAGACUUUUGCAAUUUUUGGUCUUCAACGAGGAAUUCCUAGUAAACGCAAGUCAUCAGCUUGCAUUGAUUACGUCCCUGCCCUUUGUACACACCGCCCGUCGCACCUACCGAUUGAAUGGUCCGGUGAAAUCUCCGGACUGGCGUGAGUCGGAGCAAUCUGACAAACACCGGAAAGUUGAUUAAACCUUACCAUUUAGAGGAAGGUGAAGUCGUAACA
RNAcentral lists this ribosomal RNA (324 nucleotides) under uncultured eukaryote. RNAcentral describes it as "partial 18S ribosomal RNA". It matches the Rfam family "Eukaryotic small subunit ribosomal RNA", at positions 1470 to 1796 of the family's 1831-position model. The record is from RNAcentral.